GAGGAAUAUUGGGCAAUGCCCGCAAGGGUGACCCAGCAACGCCGCGUGGAGGAUGAAUGUCGUAAGAUUGUAAACUCCUGUUAGAGGGGAAGAAUAGUACCGGUUGGACCGGUAUAUGACUGUACCCUCAGAGAAAGCCCCGGCUAACUACGUGCCAGCAGCCGCGGUAAUACGUAGGGGGCAAGCGUUGUCCGGAUUUACUGGGUGUAAAGGGCGCGCAGGCGGGAUAAAAAGUCAGUGGUGAAAUCCUACAGCUUAACUGUAGAACUGCCUUUGAUACUUUUAUUCUUGAGUUCGGGAGAGAGAGACGGAAUUCCAGGUGUAGUGGUGAAAUACGUAGAUAUCUGGAAGAACACCAGUUGCGAAGGCGGUCUCUUGGUCCGACACUGACGCUGAGGCGCGAAAGCGUGGGGAGCAAA
This 419-nucleotide ribosomal RNA is filed under the name uncultured bacterium. RNAcentral describes it as "bacterial SSU rRNA". It matches the Rfam family "Bacterial small subunit ribosomal RNA", at positions 356 to 772 of the family's 1533-position model. The record is from RNAcentral.